RNAcentral lists this ribosomal RNA (303 nucleotides) under uncultured bacterium. RNAcentral describes it as "partial 16S ribosomal RNA". It matches the Rfam family "Archaeal small subunit ribosomal RNA", at positions 457 to 760 of the family's 1478-position model. The record is from RNAcentral.
AGCAGUAGCCACGGGAAAACCAGCACCUCGAGUGGUCAGGAGGUUUAUUGGGCCUAAAGCAUCCGUAGCCGGUUGCAUAAGUUUUCGGUUAAAUCUAUGCGCUUAACGUAUAGGCCGCCGAAAAUACUGUGCAGCUAGGGAGUGGGAGAGGUACACGGUACUCGAUAGGAAGGGGUAAAAUCCUUUGAUCUAUUGAUGACCACCUGUGGCGAAGGCGGUGUACCAGAACACGUUCGACGGUGAGGGAUGAAAGCUGGGGGAGCAAACCGGAUUAGAUACCCGCGUAGUCCCUGUCUCUUAUAC